Molecule: ribosomal RNA, 360 nt
Filed under: Mortierella sp.
Lineage: Eukaryota; Fungi; Mortierellomycota; Mortierellomycetes; Mortierellales; Mortierellaceae
Description: partial large subunit ribosomal RNA
Source: RNAcentral
UUAAACAGUGCGUGAAAUUGUUGAAAGGGAAACGCUUGACACCAGUCAUGCGAGCGGAAAAUCAGUCUUUUGCAGUGGGGAGUUGUGUGGGUUCGGACCGCAAGGCCGGCCUGCGCUGCAUCUCUGCUGUAAGUGAUGCACUUUUUCGUUUGCAGGCCAACAUCAGUUUCUUCUGCUGGACAAAACUCUUGAGAAGGUGGCAGCUUAGGCUGUGUUAUAGCUCUUGAGCGAUACAGUGGAGGGGACUGAGGUUUUCGCAGCGCGUGCUCUCGGGCAAGGCUGAUUGGGUGCUAUGGGAUCGUUCGGUGUACAAUGCAUGCAUUUUGCGCCGUGUCUUUUCUAUACUCGCUCAACUCGGGC